RNAcentral lists this ribosomal RNA (505 nucleotides) under uncultured bacterium. Its description in RNAcentral is "partial 16S ribosomal RNA". It matches the Rfam family "Bacterial small subunit ribosomal RNA", at positions 28 to 507 of the family's 1533-position model. The record is from RNAcentral.
GACGAACGCUGGCGGCGUGCCUAAUACAUGCAAGUAGAACGCACAGUUUAUACCGUAGCUUGCUACACCAUAGACUGUGAGUUGCGAACGGGUGAGUAACGCGUAGGUAACCUGCCUGGUAGCGGGGGAUAACUAUUGGAAACGAUAGCUAAUACCGCAUAAUAUUAAUUAUUGCAUGAUAAUUGAUUGAAAGAUGCAACUGCAUCACUACCAGAUGGACCUGCGUUGUAUUAGCUAGUAGGUGAGGUAACGGCUCACCUAGGCGACGAUACAUAGCCGACCUGAGAGGGUGAUCGGCCACACUGGGACUGAGACACGGCCCAGACUCCUACGGGAGGCAGCAGUAGGGAAUCUUCGGCAAUGGACGAAAGUCUGACCGAGCAACGCCGCGUGAGUGAAGAAGGUUUUCGGAUCGCAAAGCUCUGUUGUAAGAGAAGAACGGGUGUGAGAGUGGAAAGUUCACACUGUGACGGUAGCUUACCAGAAAGGGACGGCUAACUACGUG